This 492-nucleotide ribosomal RNA is filed under the name uncultured bacterium. RNAcentral describes it as "partial 16S ribosomal RNA". It matches the Rfam family "Bacterial small subunit ribosomal RNA", at positions 29 to 507 of the family's 1533-position model. The record is from RNAcentral.
AGUGAACGCUGGCGGUAGGCCUAACACAUGCAAGUCGAACGGCAGCACAGUAAGAGCUUGCUCUUACGGGUGGCGAGUGGCGGACGGGUGAGGAAUACAUCGGAAUCUACUUUUUCGUGGGGGAUAACGUAGGGAAACUUACGCUAAUACCGCAUACGACCUACGGGUGAAAGUAGGGGAUCUUCGGACCUUGCGCGAUUGAAUGAGCCGAUGUCGGAUUAGCUAGUUGGCGGGGUAAAGGCCCACCAAGGCGACGAUCCGUAGCUGGUCUGAGAGGAUGAUCAGCCACACUGGAACUGAGACACGGUCCAGACUCCUACGGGAGGCAGCAGGGGGGAAUAUUGGACAAUGGGCGCAAGCCUGAUCCAGCCAUACCGCGUGGGUGAAGAAGGCCUUCGGGUUGUAAAGCCCUUUUGUUGGGAAAGAAAAGCAGCAGGUUAAUACCCCGCUGUUCUGACGGUACCCAAAGAAUAAGCACCGGCUAACUUCGUG